AUACGGAGGAUCCAAGCGUUAUCCGGAUUUAUUGGGUUUAAAGGGUGCGUAGGCGGACUGGUAAGUCAGCUGUGAAAGUUUGCGGCUUAACCGUAAAAUUGCAGUUGAUACUGUCAGUCUUGAGUGUGCAUGAGGUGGGCGGAAUUUGUGGUGUAGCGGUGAAAUGCUUAGAUAUCACGAGGAACUCCAAUUGCGAAGGCAGCUCACUGGGGCAUAACUGACGCUGAUGCACGAAGGUGUGGGUAUCAAACAGGAUUAGAUACCCUGGUAGUCCGCACAGUAAACGAUGAAUACUCGCUGUUUGCGAUACACUGUAAGCGGCCAAGCGAAAGCGUUAAGUAUUCCACCUGGGGAGUACGCCGGCAACGGUGAAACUCAAAUGAAUUGACGGGG
Molecule: ribosomal RNA, 393 nt
Filed under: uncultured bacterium
Lineage: Bacteria
Description: partial 16S ribosomal RNA
Rfam family: Bacterial small subunit ribosomal RNA
Source: RNAcentral